This 345-nucleotide unclassified non-coding RNA is filed under the name soil metagenome. RNAcentral's name for it is "partial contains 5.8S ribosomal RNA, internal transcribed spacer 2, and large subunit ribosomal RNA". The stretch from base 1 to 120 matches the Rfam family "5.8S ribosomal RNA", at positions 35 to 154 of the family's 154-position model. The record is from RNAcentral.
GAUGAAGAACGUAGCGAAAUGCGAUACGUAAUGUGAAUUGCAGAAUUCAGUGAAUCAUCGAGUCUUUGAACGCACAUUGCGCCCCCUGGUAUUCCGGGGGGCAUGCCUGUCCGAGCGUCAUUGCUGCCCUCAAGCACAGCUUGUGUGUUGGGCCUCCGUCCUCCUCCCGGGGGACGGGCCCGAAAGGCAGCGGCGGCACCGCGUCCGGUCCUCGAGCGUAUGGGGCUUCGUCACCCGCUCUUGUAGGCCCGGCCGGCGCUUGCCGACACAUCAAUCUUUUUUCCAGGUUGACCUCGGAUCAGGUAGGGAUACCCGCUGAACUUAAGCAUAUCAAUAAGCGGAGGA